This 253-nucleotide ribosomal RNA is filed under the name uncultured bacterium. Its description in RNAcentral is "partial 16S ribosomal RNA". It matches the Rfam family "Bacterial small subunit ribosomal RNA", at positions 524 to 776 of the family's 1533-position model. The record is from RNAcentral.
UACGUAGGGAGCAAGCGUUGUCCGGAAUCAUUGGGCGUAAAGAGCGUGUAGGCGGCUUGGUAAGUCCGCUGUGAAAGUCCAGGGCUCAACCCUGGAAUGCCAGUGGAAACUGUCAAGCUAGAGUCCGGAAGAGGCGAGUGGAAUUCCUGGUGUAGCGGUGAAAUGCGCAGAUAUCAGGAGGAACACCAAUGGCGAAGGCAGCUCGCUGGGACGGUACUGACGCUGAGACGCGAAAGCGUGGGGAGCAAACAGG